Molecule: ribosomal RNA, 501 nt
Filed under: uncultured bacterium
Lineage: Bacteria
Description: partial 16S ribosomal RNA
Rfam family: Bacterial small subunit ribosomal RNA
Source: RNAcentral
AUUGAACGCUGGCGGCAUGCCUUACACAUGCAAGACGAACGGCAGCACGGGUGCUUGCACCUGGUGGCGAGUGGCGAACGGGUGAGUAAUACAUCGGGACGUACCUUAUCGUGGGGGAUAACGCAGCGAAAGCUGUGCUAAUACCGCAUACGCCCUGAGGGGGAAAGCGGGGGAUCGCAAGACCUCGCGCGAUUAGAGCGGCCGAUGCCGGAUUAGCUUGUUGGGGGGGUAAAAGCCCACCAAGGCGACGAUCAGUAGCUGGUCUGAGAGGACGAUCAGCCACACUGGGACUGAGACACGGCCCAGACUCCUACGGGAGGCAGCAGUGGGGAAUUUUGGACAAUGGGGGCAACCCUGAUCCAGCAAUGCGGCGUGAGUGAAGAAGGCCUUCGGGUUGUAAAGCUCUUUUGUCAGGGAAGAAACACCGGCUCUAACACAGUCCGGGAAUGACGGUACCUGAAGAAUAAGCACCGGCUAACUACGUGCCAGCCGCCGCAGUAA